RNAcentral lists this ribosomal RNA (374 nucleotides) under Escherichia coli. Its description in RNAcentral is "partial 23S ribosomal RNA". It matches the Rfam family "Bacterial large subunit ribosomal RNA", at positions 1 to 409 of the family's 2925-position model. Lineage: Bacteria; Pseudomonadati; Pseudomonadota; Gammaproteobacteria; Enterobacterales; Enterobacteriaceae. The record is from RNAcentral.
GGGUUGUGAGGUUAAGCGACUAAGCGUACACGGUGGAUGCCCUGGCAGUCAGAGGCGAUGAAGGACGUGCUAAUCUGCGAUAAGCGUCGGUAAGGUGAUAUGAACCGUUAUAACCGGCGAUUUCCGAAUGGGGAAACCCAGUGUGAUUCGUCACACUAUCAUUAACUGAAUCCAUAGGUUAAUGAGGCGAACCGGGGGAACUGAAACAUCUAAGUACCCCGAGGAAAAGAAAUCAACCGAGAUUCCCCCAGUAGCGGCGAGCGAACGGGGAGGAGCCCAGAGCCUGAAUCAGUGUGUGUGUUAGUGGAAGCGUCUGGAAAGGCGCGCGAUACAGGGUGACAGCCCCGUACACAAAAAUGCACAUACUGUGAGCU